AACUCUUCUAGGGCAAUGCAAUCGGCCUUCAUGGGCUUGGUCUUCUUUACUUUCGUGGAAAAGGAGUUCCCCUGAAUUAUGCCGAAGCACUUAAAUACUUUCAGAAAGCUGCGGAAAAAGGGUGGCCCGACGCACAGUUCCAGUUAGGCUUCAUGUACUACUAAAAGGCUAACAUUCUUGAAAAAGAGAAGAUGUAUCCAAUGGCGCUUCUCCUAUGGAAUCGAGCUGCCAUUCAAGGACAUUCACUUGGCCAGAAGAUUGUACGACAUGGCUGCUCAAACGAGUCCAGAUGCCCACAUACCUGUGCUCUUUGCCGUCAUGAAACUGGAAACUACGCAUUUGCUCCGGGAUAUCCUGUUUUUUAAUGUAAGUUUGUCUUGAACAGGUCCUGAAUCUCUGAAAGUCUCCAGUGAGCAACUCUUAGGGACAAAGUGACAAGGCCCAUCAGGGAGUCUCUUGUGGACUGGCUUUCCUUUGAGAAGUAAAAUUCAGAGUCUUACACUUGCCAUGCAGAGUAAUUCUGCAUGUUCUAUUGAGUAUGUGUUG
RNAcentral lists this small RNA (546 nucleotides) under Pan troglodytes (chimpanzee). RNAcentral's name for it is "processed transcript". The record is from RNAcentral. Lineage: Eukaryota; Metazoa; Chordata; Mammalia; Primates; Hominidae.